AGGCAACAGCCCAAAGAAGUUCAUCAGUACAUGGAAACGUUCAAGGCCCCUGCAUGGGUUCAAGCCUGAAGGUCUAUGAACAUGGCUAUGACCCACUGCAUGGGGAUGAGGAUCCUCGUCUUCCAUAUACCUAGAAGUGGAGGAGAAACCUGUGUUGGUAGAUGGUUGUAAGAUCUAUCAUUAAAACUAAUUUAUUUCAGUCAUCUCUUUCUUUUUCAAAACAUAAGAAUCUAUAUCCGAAGAAAAUUAAACAGUUUGUCCACAGUUACAAAAUAAACAUUCUAAAUGAUAAUAAAGCUUACACAAUAGU
Gorilla gorilla gorilla (western lowland gorilla) is the source of this 310-nucleotide long non-coding RNA. RefSeq lists it as uncharacterized. The record is from RefSeq and is a predicted model, not a curated record. NCBI's taxonomy places the organism in Eukaryota, Metazoa, Chordata, Mammalia, Primates, Hominidae. The transcript has 2 exons.